UCUGCUCUACUUUUCUUUGUGCUAUAUUUUCUUUGUGUUUGUUUCCUUUUAUUUUGUAUGACAAUAUGUAUGGAAAAUAAUAUUUAAUUCUGUUCUAUUGCCUUUAAUUUUGCCAAAUAUAUAUUAAACCCAACCUAUAUUUUUAUAAUUUUCAAUAGACCGUAACUUUUCAUUGUUCCUCCUCUAUAAAGUGAUAGGGAGUUUGGCAAAAAUUUACCUUGUUCUGUCUUCUCAGCGCUUCAUCACUUUCCAGUAUUACUCAUUUAAUCUGGAGCUGUGAGCCAGUUUAUCCUCUGCAUUUUUUACAACCACCAAAUACUUAUUUCAGAAUUGGUCAUGGUUACUUGCAUUUAGUGUCGUAACCAGACUGCAGCUGACCCAGUACGCUACCAUCCCUUGGAACUCCACGACUGCAGUGAGCUCCUGCCGACUUCCGGGUUUCUGACUGCUGGACGCUGCAUCUACCAAGCGAUGGGGGGAAACAGAUGAAGCACCCACUCCUGAAUCCCCAGCCAAUGCCUGUGUAAAUACUCCCAUCAUGGCCAAUGUCAAGCUCCAACAGCACAUCACUGAACUUUGAGUUGGAAAGAAAUAUGCACACUAGGCUUUUGUGAGCUGUCUCAAGCUGGCUUCAUCACAUUAGCAGGAAAGUCAGUUGAUCAUUGACAGAGUUACCAAGAACACACAAUGGGGAAAGGACAGUCUCUUCAAUAAAUGCUGAGAAAACUGGAUAUCCACAUGCAGAAGAAUGUAAUUAGACCCUUAAUUCAUACCACAUACAAAAAUCAACUGAAAGUGGAUUAAAGACUUAAACAUUAGAUCUGAAACUGUAAAACUACUAGAAGAAAACAUAGAGAAAAAGCUUCUUGACAUUGAUCUAGGCAAUAAUUUUUUGGAUAUGACCCCAAAAGCACAAGCAACAAAGCAAAAAUAGACAAAUGGGAUUGAAUCAAGUUAAAAAGCCUCUCCAUAGCAAAGGAAACAAUAAACAGAGUAAAGAGACAACCUAUGGAGUAGGAGAAAGAACUUGCAAACCAUAUUCCUGAUAAAGAGCUAAUGUCCAAAGUACAUAAGGAACUCAAACCACUCAAUUGCAAGGCAACAAACAACCUGAUUUAAAAAUGUGCAAAAUACCUGAAAAGAUAUUUCUCAAAAGGAAACAUAUAAUGGCCAACACAUAUAUGAAUCACUCUUAUUCACUCAACAUCACUGAUUAUCAGGGAAUUGCAAAUUAAAAUCACAAUAAGAUAUCUUUUCACACCUGUUAGAAAGCUAUUAUCAAAAAGACAAAGGAUAACAAGCGUUGGCGAGGAUGUGGAGAAAAGGGAAUGCUUGUACAUUUGUGGGUAAAUUGGCACAGCUAUUAUGGAGAACAGUAUGGAAGUUCCUCAAAAAAUUAAAAAUAGAGCCACCAUAUUAUCUAGGGAUCCCACUUAUAGGAAUACAUCCAAAAGAAAUGAAAUUAGUAUGUUGAAGAGAUAUUUGCACUCCCAAGUUCAUUGCAGUAUUAUUCACAAUAGCUAUGAUAUGGAAUGAACCCAAGUGUCCACUGAUGGAUGAAUGAAUAAAGAAGAUGUGGUAUAAAUAUACAAUGGAAUACAAUUUGGCCUUAUGAAAAGAAAAUCCUGCCAUUUGUGACAACAUGGAUAAAAUUGGAAUACAUUAUGCUAAGCGAAAUAAGCCAGGCACAGAAAGACAAACACUGAAAGAUCUCACUUACAUGUGGAGUCUAAGAAAGCCAAACUCAUAGAAGCAGAAAGUAGAAUGGUGGUUGCUAGGGUUAAGGCAGAGGAGGGAGAAUGAGAACAUGUUGGAUAAAGGGGGUGUGAACUUUCAGUUAAAUGGAUAAAUAAGUUCUAAAGAACUAUUGUACAGCAUGGUGACUAUAGUUAAUAAUAAUAUAUUACAUACUUGAAAAUUGCUAAGAGAGUGGAUCUUAUGACCAAAACAUAUGUGAGGCAAUAGAUAUGUUAAUUAGCUUGAAUCAAUCAUUUCACAAGAUCUAUCUAUCUAUCUAUCUAUCUAUCUAUCUAUCUAUCUAUCUAUCUAUAUGUCAAAACAUCACAUUAUAUACUGUAAAAUAUAUAAAAUUUUUAUUUGUCAAUUAUACCUUAAUAAAACUGGGAGAAAUUGUUAAGAGGAUAAAUCACAUGUUAAGUGUUCUCACAGCAACAAAAAGCAGAGCAAAACAAAAUGAAACAACAAACAAGAAGCACAAGACAACUUUUGGAGGUGAUGAACAUGUGUAUUACUUUGCGGUGAUGAUUUCACGGGUGUAUGCCUAUGUCCAAACUGAUCGAAUUGUAUCUAUUAAACGUGCAG
This 2322-nucleotide long non-coding RNA is filed under the name Homo sapiens (human). Its description in RNAcentral is "HSALNT0086533". The record is from RNAcentral. Lineage: Eukaryota; Metazoa; Chordata; Mammalia; Primates; Hominidae.